This 158-nucleotide ribosomal RNA is filed under the name uncultured bacterium. RNAcentral's name for it is "partial 16S ribosomal RNA". It matches the Rfam family "Bacterial small subunit ribosomal RNA", at positions 329 to 505 of the family's 1533-position model. The record is from RNAcentral.
GCCCAGACUCCUACGGGAGGCAGCAGUGGGGAAUCUUGGACAAUGGGCGCAAGCCUGAUCCAGCCAUGCCGCGUGAGCGAUGAAGGCCUUAGGGGUUGUAAAGCUCUUUCACCGGAGAAGAUAAUGACGGUUCCGGAGAAGAAACCCCGGCUACUCCG